This is a non-coding RNA of Dermacentor albipictus, 3089 nucleotides long. The record is from RefSeq and is a predicted model, not a curated record. NCBI's taxonomy places the organism in Eukaryota, Metazoa, Arthropoda, Arachnida, Ixodida, Ixodidae.
UAUCUUGCUACACAGGACGCCUUCCAGUACUUGGGGAGCUUGCGCUCCAGGUUUGUCAUAAAGGGGUGACAGUGGAGUGUGCGCUGACAGUCUUGGACUGUGCGGGACCAAGCCUCUGCGGUCGCGAUUUAAUCCAGCGGCUGAACAGCGCAGGUGCUCCAGUGGUUAGUUUUGUAGAGACCUCGGCGGUAACAAAUGACUCGAGCGAAUCCAGCGUGAACAGCAUAUUCAAUGACUACAACGACGUGUUCUCCGAGGAACUGGGGCUAAUCAAGGGUCCUCCAGCCAGCCUGCACAUGAAGGAAGGCGCCGUACCCAAGUUCUGCAAGGCCAGACCCAUUCCAUACGCGCUACGCGAGCGAGUGUCACUCGAGCUAGACCGUUUAGUUUCUGUGGGCGUGCUGUCGCCGGUGGCACACUCUGAAUGGGCAACGCCCAUAGUCGUAGUGCUUAAGAAAGACGGCGCAGUAAGAAUCUGCGGGGAUUUCAAGGCCACAGUAAAUCCAGCGUGUGCAACUGAGCAAUACCCAUUGCCAAUCAUUGAGGAUAUGUUUGCCCGAUUACACGAUGGGGACUAUUUCAGCACUCUGGAUUUACGGGAUGCAUACAAUCAAGUAGCGCUAGACGAUAACGCGAAGAAAGUUUGCGUCAUUAAUACGCCAAAAGGGCUAUUUUGCUACAAUCGACUUCCAUUCGGUAUAGCCUCAGCGCCCGCAAUAUUCCAAAGGAAAAUGGAUGAGGUAUUGGCUGGCCUUCCAGGAGCACAGGCUUAUCUUGACGAUGUGCUCAUUUCUGAAAAAGCGAGUGACGGUGGCGAAAGGCUGAAAAACGUCUUACAGCGCUUCCGAGAGCGCGGUGUAAAGCUAAGGUUCGAUAAAUGCAACUUGCGCAGCCCAGCAGUAACUUAUCUAGGCCAUCGGAUCGAUCGUGAUGGGCUUCAUCCGACAGAAAAAAACCUUGACGCUAUCAUGAAGGCACCGAGCCCCUGUAAUGUCAGUGAGCUACGUUCAUUCUUGGGCAUGAUUACUUUUUACGCGCGGUUUCUGCCGAACAUGUCAACCACACUUGGCCCAUUGUAUCAACUGCUUGAAAAGAACGCACGCUGGCAAUGGAAACAGCCGCAAGAGCACGCGUUUGAUCUUGCCAAGCAAAGCCUUAAAACAGCCAAGGUUCUAGUUCAUUUCGACCCUUCGAAGGAACUUAAACUGGAGUGUGACGCGUCUCCGUACGGUGUGGGAGCUGUCUUGUUUCACACGACCGGUAACGUUCACAGGCCCAUUGGGUUCCGCUCGCGAACAUUAACGCAGGCGGAGCGCAACUAUUCGCAGCUCGAGCGAGAGGCACUGGCACUGGUAUUCGGCGUCACGAAAUUCCGUGACUACCUUCUAGGUCGGGAAUUUACCUUAGUGACUGACCACCAGCCAUUGUUGGGCCUGCUGAAAUCGGACAAGCAGACGCCUACAAUGGCCGCCGCACGGAUACAACGUUGGGCACUCCACCUGGGGGCCUACCGCUACCGGCUACAGUAUGCACCAGGACGACAGAUGCUGAACGCUGACGCCCUCAGCCGACUUCCGCAAAGAUCUCCGGAAUCUGACGAUGACGGUGAGCCGCCCGAAUAUGUGCUGUCGCUAAACCAGCUGAACAAUGGCACCAUAACAACGCGUGAGCUGAAAGCAUUAACGGCUUUUGACCCUGUCCUGGUCGAGGUCAAACGGUACAUAUUACAUGGGUGGCCCAGAAACGCAAACGGAAUGGCCCGGGCCGUACUGCCGUUUUUUGACCGCAAGCUCGAAUUAUCCGUAGCACAUGAACUGGUGUACUGGGGUAAUAGGGUCAUAAUACCGACCGAAGCUAGGGAGCGAGUGCUGCAUCUUCUACAUGAAACGCACCAGGGUUCACCGGCAAUGAAAUCUGUCGCUCGUUCUUUGUUCUGGUGGCCAGGCCUCGACAAAAAUAUUGAAGACGUGUCUGCACAAUGCCAGUUCUGUGUGCAAAAUCUGCCGAUGCCAACUGCAGCUCCCGUCGUUAACUGGCCUGAAACAGGCGAAAGGUGGUCCCGUAUUCACAUGGACUACGCGGGUCCGAUCUGCGGAAAAAUGAUACUCGUACUAGUCGAUGCACACACCAAAUGGCUCGAAGCAAUACCUUUGUCACAUGCCUCAACGCAGACUACCAUUGACUGUCUGCGUGGCAUUUUCAGCAGGUUUGGAAUACCGCGCACGAUCGUUUCUGACAACGGGACCCCAUUUGCCAGUCAAGACUUCGCGUUGUUCGUGGCAAACAACAACAUUGUGCACCUUCGAUGCGCUCCAUACCAUCCCCAGUCUAAUGGUGCGGCGGAAAGGGCAGUACGAACGAUAAAAGAUGGUCUUCGAAAAAUGACGAAAGGAAAACUUGAAGAGAACCUUGUACGGUUGCUUUUUAACUACCGGAGGACUCCGCAAAAAUCGGCACUUGCAGGACCAAAAGAGGACCAAGAUGACUGGCUGCCGCUACCUGCAAGUGAAGUGUAUGCCCGCAAUUACGGUGUGGGGAGCAAGUGGACGCCCGGUCAUGUGAAGGCGACGUCGGGAGCGAGAAUGGUGACCGUGGAAACAUCGGACGGAGUCAUCCAGCGGCACGUGGACCAGGUCCGCCCGCGACAGGAAGUACCAGGGGACAAACCGACAGUAACUACAACCACCACAUAUCGCAGUGAGCCGGACCAAGCAACACAACUACAGCAUCCAGAAACGGUGAAUCGGGAUGAAGGCAUAACUGCUCGGCGCAUUCUAAAUGGCACCCGUUCUCCAGACUUUGCGGCACCAGAUAUUCCAGUGGCCCCGUUGCAUACAGGUGUCGCCCAACAAACGCUGAGACGCUCAACGAGAGAACGCAAGCCAGUGCAACGCUUUCAUUUCUGAGGAGGAAGGAAUGUUGCAACUUAACGCAUUUUCGAAGUGCGCGCACCUUUUAUCGCCUUAUCUGGCGAUCCUUCGAGUUCGGAUUAUCACUACUAACACGUGCUCCUUUCUAUCUUCCUGCCACUCGGCUACUUAUAAAUACGCUUGACACCUUUGAAUAAACGUUCAUUUUGUUCUACUGAC